AUUUUCAUCACAUUACUUCUUUCUUUGAAAUAGUCCAGAGUCAUUCUGCCUGCUAAAAUAUGAGCCCAUGAUAUAUGAAAUCCUUAUUUAAGAAUCUAUCCAUGGGCAAAGCAAAGCUUCCUAAAUCUUGGUUCAGAAUCUCUUAUGUUCUAACUUUCUAAACCUGUAAUUUGCUGAGAUUAUUUUCCACCAUUAUUGAAGCAAUAUAUCUUCAAAAUCAUUCUUUUGAGACCAACUGGUGGUUAAACUCCAAAUUCAGAACAUGCCAGGGACAUUGCCAGUCCCCUUUGUCUCAACUUACAAUUUAUAAACAAUAGAAAGGAUUUAGUUUAUUUAUUCUUUCAUUCAUUCAAUUUAUGUCUUUCUUUGAGGUGCAUAUACUUGUCUAUGCUCUCUUACAUUUGUCUUGGUCGUAGUCUGUCUUAAAUCAUAAGUUCCUAUACGACAGGGAUCAUGCCUAUUUAAUUUACUUUUAACACAUUUAACCCAAUGCAAUGAAAAUAUGUGAACUUAACACAUGAAUCUUGAUGAUGACAGUGAUUAUAAUAACUUAUGUUGUUUCUCUUUUGCUUCUCAGUGGCACUUGCCAGCAAUUCACAUAGGCUGACAGUUAUGAAUCUCAAGGAAGUCACUCUCUUAUCUUUCCCUACUUCGAUGGCAUUUUAUCUAUUCUCUCACUAUCAAAAUACUACAGUAAUUCAACUUUGGGUAGAUGUGCUGCCUGAUGCCCUCACCUAUGUGAAAUAAAGGAGGCAAGUGUGUUAAAGAGCUACUAGCAGGUGAACCAGGUAUGGCAAAAAACAUGCAUUUCAUUCAUGAAAGGUAACUGUCAACUUCACUCAGAUAUUAUUUAUUCAGUGUUUACACAAAUAUAACAAAAUUAGAACUGCAGUCGUUUCAAACUAGAGAAGGUGUAUUUACUCUGAAAAAAGAAGUGAGGCCUGUUAGCUUUGUAGCAAAAGCAGGGACUCGAAAUGAACCUAUAUGAAACAGACAAAACUGAAAGGGCAAUUUGGUCAUUGUUCAUUUUCUGAAAGCACUUCACCUUUCAGUUAGUUUCCAAGGCAGCUUUGCAGUACAUCACAGUUAAAUAAUUGAAAUUUUCUGUACAAGCUUGGAGUCUACAAGGAUAAGUCAAAUAAUUACAAUUUGUAUUUUUUUAGUGAUGUUGCAGGGAAUAAAGUACUUUCCCAACCAGACAUCCUACUCUUUUUGUCAAUGAGGUCAU
RNAcentral lists this long non-coding RNA (1228 nucleotides) under Callithrix jacchus (white-tufted-ear marmoset). Its description in RNAcentral is "lncRNA (ENSCJAG00000082752.1)". Lineage: Eukaryota; Metazoa; Chordata; Mammalia; Primates; Cebidae. The record is from RNAcentral.